UACAGAGGGUGCGAGCGUUAAUCGGAAUUACUGGGCGUAAAGCGUGCGUAGACGGCUAUCUAAGUCGGGUGUGAAAUCCCUGGGCUCAACCCAGGAACUGCGUCCGAUACUGGUUGGCUUGAAUCCGGGAGAGGGAUGCGGAAUUCCAGGUGUAGCGGUGAAAUGCGUAGAUAUCUGGAGGAACACCGGUGGCGAAGGCGGCAUCCUGGACCGGCAUUGACGCUGAGGCGCGAAAGCCAGGGGAGCAAACAGG
Molecule: ribosomal RNA, 253 nt
Filed under: uncultured bacterium
Lineage: Bacteria
Description: partial 16S ribosomal RNA
Rfam family: Bacterial small subunit ribosomal RNA
Source: RNAcentral